UCCGAGUUGACCCCGGCAGUCUCCUGCGAGUCCCCGCCAUAACCCGCUGGUAACAUAAGACAAGGGUUGCGCUCGUUGCGGGACUUAACCCAACAUCUCACGACACGAGCUGACGACAGCCAUGCAGCACCUCUAUGGCGGCUCCCGAAGGAGAGACUCUAUUUCUAGAGCUGUCCGCUACAGUUCAAGCCCAGGUAAGGUUUUGCGCGUUGCAUCGAAUUAAACCACAUGCUCCACCGCUUGUGCGGGCCCCCGUCAAUUCCUUUGAGUUUCAGCCUUGCGGCCGUACUCCCCAGGCGGGGCACUUACUGCGUUAGCGACGGCACCGGGAGGGUCGCUCCCCCCGACGCCUAGUGCCCAUCGUUUACGGCGUGGACUAC
This 380-nucleotide unclassified non-coding RNA is filed under the name uncultured bacterium. RNAcentral's name for it is "contains 16S-23S intergenic spacer region". The record is from RNAcentral.